UACGUAGGGUGCGAGCGUUGUCCGGAAUUACUGGGCGUAAAGAGCUCGUAGGUGGUUUGUCGCGUUGUUCGUGAAAUCUCACGGCUUAACUGUGAGCGUGCGGGCGAUACGGGCAGACUAGAGUACUGCAGGGGAGACUGGAAUUCCUGGUGUAGCGGUGGAAUGCGCAGAUAUCAGGAGGAACACCGGUGGCGAAGGCGGGUCUCUGGGCAGUAACUGACGCUGAGGAGCGAAAGCGUGGGGAGCGAGCGGG
This 253-nucleotide ribosomal RNA is filed under the name uncultured bacterium. Its description in RNAcentral is "partial 16S ribosomal RNA". It matches the Rfam family "Bacterial small subunit ribosomal RNA", at positions 524 to 776 of the family's 1533-position model. The record is from RNAcentral.